GUGGUUGAAGAGAGGACCAACUGGGAUAAUUGCUACAAAUCUUUACUGUGCUGAAGAAACUGUCGCUAGCAUAUCAGAAGAUGUUGAGAGAGGAGUGGUAACAUCAAGAUCUGGCCUAUCUAAGUCCGGAAGGGAGGGCCUCCUCCAAUUGCUAGAUAGCAGGAAUGUCAAAAUUGUUCCAUUUGGUGGCUGGGAAAAGAUAGAGAGUGAAGAGAAAAGAAGAGGUAGUCUGAAAAACAAACCCAGGGAAAAGCUUACCUCUUGGGAGGAUUUAUUAGAAGUUGCCACCAAGUGAUAAAAGUGUCUCCAAGAUGGCAGAUUUUGCUUACAUCUGUGGUUUUAUGGUAAAGCCCGAACUCUAUAACUCUUUCAGAUGUGUGCAUUGCUUUUAGCCCUCGGCAUUUAAGAGAAUUUGCUGUGCAUUCUUUCUUAGAAAAGAUGAUAAAUAAUCGGUUAGCUCUGUUUUGAGCUCUUCACGUCCUGGAACCUUUUUCUGACAUGGUUGAGGCAGGGACUAGUGUUGUGCUUUGUAAUACAGCCACCAUCACUAAAGGCUCAGCUUAUGCAUUGAUUCCUCCAAUUUUUGGUAGUUAGUUGAAUUAGAUGAAGUGCAGUGCACACUAAAGCAAUUUAUGGGCAAUCGCCACACUGAGAAAUCAAA
RNAcentral lists this unclassified non-coding RNA (661 nucleotides) under Hevea brasiliensis (rubber tree). The record is from RNAcentral. Lineage: Eukaryota; Viridiplantae; Streptophyta; Magnoliopsida; Malpighiales; Euphorbiaceae.